UACGAAGGGGGCUAGCGUUGUUCGGAAUUACUGGGCGUAAAGCGCACGUAGGCGGAUUUGUAAGUCAGGGGUGAAAUCCCGGGGCUCAACCUCGGAACUGCCUUUGAUACUGCAAGUCUCGAGUCCGAUAGAGGUGAGUGGAAUUCCUAGUGUAGAGGUGAAAUUCGUAGAUAUUAGGAAGACCACCAGUGGCGAAGGCGGCUUGCCAGAACGCGCUCGACGGUGAGGGAUGAAAGCUGGGGGAGCAAACCGG
RNAcentral lists this ribosomal RNA (253 nucleotides) under uncultured bacterium. RNAcentral's name for it is "partial 16S ribosomal RNA". It matches the Rfam family "Bacterial small subunit ribosomal RNA", at positions 524 to 776 of the family's 1533-position model. The record is from RNAcentral.